This 446-nucleotide ribosomal RNA is filed under the name uncultured bacterium. RNAcentral describes it as "partial 16S ribosomal RNA". It matches the Rfam family "Bacterial small subunit ribosomal RNA", at positions 338 to 795 of the family's 1533-position model. The record is from RNAcentral.
CCUACGGGGGGCAGCAGUCGAGAAUCAUUCACAAUGGGGGAAACCCUGAUGGUGCGACGCCGCGUGGGGGAAUGAAGGUCUUCGGAUUGUAAACCCCUGUCAUGUGGGAGCAAAUUAAAAAGAUAGUACCACACGAGGAAGAGACGGCUAACUCUGUGCCAGCAGCCGCGGUAAUACAGAGGUCUCAAGCGUUGUUCGGAAUCACUGGGCGUAAAGCGUGCGUAGGCUGUUUCGUAAGUCGUGUGUGAAAGGCGCGGGCUCAACCCGCGGACGGCACAUAAUACUGCGAGACUAGAGUAAUGGAGGGGGAACCGGAAUUCUCGGUGUAGCAGUGAAAUGCGUAGAUAUCGAGAGGAACACUCGUGGCGAAGGCGGGUUCCUGGACAUUAACUGACGCUGAGGCACGAAGGCCAGGGGAGCGAAAGGGAUUAGAUACCCCUGUAGUC